CCUACGGGUGGCUGCAGUGGGGAAUAUUGGGCAAUGGGCGAAAGCCUGAUCCAGCCAUGCCGCGUGUGUGAAGAAGGCCUUCGGGUUGUAAAGCACUUUCAGUGGGGAAGAAAGCCUUGGGGCUAAUACCCUCGAGGAAGGACAUCACCCACAGAAGAAGCACCGGCUAACUCCGUGCCAGCAGCCGCGGUAAUACGGAGGGUGCGAGCGUUAAUCGGAAUUACUGGGCGUAAAGCGCGCGUAGGCGGUCUGAUAAGCCGGUUGUGAAAGCCCCGGGCUCAACCUGGGAACGGCAUCCGGAACUGUCAGGCUAGAGUGCAGGAGAGGAAGGUAGAAUUCCCGGUGUAGCGGUGAAAUGCGUAGAGAUCGGGAGGAAUACCAGUGGCGAAGGCGGCCUUCUGGACUGACACUGACGCUGAGGUGCGAAAGCGUGGGUAGCAAACAGGAUUAGAUACCCUGGUAGUC
Molecule: ribosomal RNA, 465 nt
Filed under: Vreelandella stevensii
Lineage: Bacteria; Pseudomonadati; Pseudomonadota; Gammaproteobacteria; Oceanospirillales; Halomonadaceae
Description: partial 16S ribosomal RNA
Rfam family: Bacterial small subunit ribosomal RNA
Source: RNAcentral